AACUGAUUUAGAGGACAGUGGCGGACUGGUGAGUAACGCGUGAGGAACCUGCCUUUCAGAGGGGGACAACAGUUGGAAACGACUGCUAAUACCGCAUGAUGCAUUUUGAUCGCAUGGUCGAAAUGCCAAAGAUUUAUCGCUUCAAGAUGGCCUCGCGUCUGAUUAGCUGGUUGGCGGGGUAACGGCCCACCAAGGCGACGAUCAGUAGCCGGACUGAGAGGUUGAACGGCCACAUUGGGACUGAGAUACGGCCCAGACUCC
This 261-nucleotide ribosomal RNA is filed under the name uncultured Oscillibacter sp. RNAcentral's name for it is "partial 16S ribosomal RNA". It matches the Rfam family "Bacterial small subunit ribosomal RNA", at positions 77 to 339 of the family's 1533-position model. The record is from RNAcentral. Lineage: Bacteria; Bacillati; Bacillota; Clostridia; Eubacteriales; Oscillospiraceae.